RNAcentral lists this ribosomal RNA (253 nucleotides) under uncultured bacterium. RNAcentral describes it as "partial 16S ribosomal RNA". It matches the Rfam family "Bacterial small subunit ribosomal RNA", at positions 335 to 606 of the family's 1533-position model. The record is from RNAcentral.
GGCCUACGGGGCGCAGCAGUGAGGGAUAUUGGUCAAUGGGGGAAACCCUGAACCAGCAACGCCGCGUGAGGGAAGACGGUUUUCGGAUUGUAAACCUCUGUCCUCUGUGAAGAUAAUGACGGUAGCAGAGGAGGAAGCUCCGGCUAACUACGUGCCAGCAGCCGCGGUAAUACGUAGGGAGCAAGCGUUGUCCGGAUUUACUGGGUGUAAAGGGUGCGUAGGCGGGCUUGCAAGUCAGAAGGGAACUCUAGGG